UCAAGAUACUUGUCUCUGACAUGGGCGGAGAGAUACUUGUUUCUCCAGGCUCAUUUGCAUAAGGCUCCCCACACAUUCGAAGAUCAUAAAGUCUGCAUCUGUGUGUGCAGAAGCAAAGAGAAGGAGGCAAUGAACCUCUGCGUGCCACUUCUCCUAGCUCCUCCUUGCCAGGUGGACAAGAAAAGCCUUAUCAGCAACCUGCAGCAGGGACCAUGUCUGAAAGCCAAAGCUCCUAGAAUAAUCUGAUAAAGAGCAAAUUGCACUGUCAAGGCUAUACAAUGAUUCCUUUUUCCUUCCUGCUUUGAGAGAUGCUAAAGUACAAUCGCAGGGAGAAUUUCCAGGAUCUAGAACAUCCUUCACCAACUGAGGAGCAUUUAUCGGGGCCCCAGGAGUGGCUCCUUAGAGGGCAAUGUAAGAAAAUGGAGUCAAAGGGACAUAGUGUGACUUACAAUGUGGAUUGAUGAGACUUGAGAGCAGAGUCAGUUUGCUGUCACCCAGAUGCCGACUACUUAUCGCCCAUUGCUGCCGUGGAUUCCAGAGACCAGGCAUCCUUUUCAGGUUCCUGGGGAUUUGGAGAAGAAAGCAGUCUUUUAUUAUACCCUUAUUGUUCAGAUCGUGAAAAUGCAAAAAUAUAGCCUGUCCAAGCAGUCACCAUUUUAAUUUCGAAUGAAAUUUCUUAUUGUCAUACAAAAAAGAGCAUGUUCAUAGGAGUGUAUUUUUAAAUUUUUUUUUUUUUUCAUUUUUGGCAAUGAAACAUGAAGUCAGUCAGCACAAGGUAGGGUCUUUUCAAAAGCACAUAAGAGAGAUCCUGCUUGAUUCCCAUCCAGGUUCGGGCAGUGCCUCAACCUCUGGCUGUUACCAACAGCCUGUCCCGGCUACAUUAUUGUUUGCUUUUAUUUCUGUUUGCAUGAGCUUCUACCAGACUUAGGCAAGGUGCUAGGUGCUUUAUGUAUAUCAUUCCCUUCAGUUUCACAACUCUUUAAGACAGGCAUCUGUUCUGAUUACCUCUUAGUCACUCCGCUGGUAAAGGUGGACUCCUUUGCUCUAAAUAGUAUGGGAUGGCUGCACAUAGGAUAUUUGACACUUGACAGGUGGCUCUGACAGCAGUUUAUUAGUCACAUAUACUCACAGCCUGGGGGAGGAGGCUGCUGCCUGCUAUGCAGGGCCACAUGGGGUGGCACUCAGGAGCAGAAGGAACCAACAGGGACUGUGGGAGGCAGGCUUUGCAAUAAUAACAGCCUCAGGUGCCUCUUGGUUUCUUUAAGAGGAUGUGAUCGGUUUUAUGAGUAGCCUUGUGUGCUGGCAGGGAAGUGAAAUCCACUAGGUUGAGUUAGGGUUAGGGGA
Sapajus apella (tufted capuchin) is the source of this 1344-nucleotide long non-coding RNA. RefSeq lists it as uncharacterized. NCBI's taxonomy places the organism in Eukaryota, Metazoa, Chordata, Mammalia, Primates, Cebidae. The transcript has 3 exons. The record is from RefSeq and is a predicted model, not a curated record.